GAUCGGUUAUAUAGAUCAUUUUUUACCAUUUAGGUCUGUUUGAAACCAUUCCCAUAUCAAUAUCCAAAAGUGAUCAAACAAAUAAGAUAUUUUACACAAGUGCUUUAAAAUAGUAUUUGAAGAAAAACAAAAACUUUUGGAAGCUAUAAAAUAGGAUACAUAAAGGAAAAGAAGUUAACCUAUCUAGCAAAUGAGAAGAGUUACAGCUUCCAUGAUAUAAUCAUGAUUAAAGCUUCAAUUUUCCAAACAUCUAUCAAAGCAAAUAGCUCUCUUGUUGAUUGUGAAACUAAACUGCUAUACAUGUAGGUAUUUGGAAAAAGAAAAUGAAGAAACAAAAGGAAAAAUUAAAUUAUGCUCAAAUAGAGGCAUUUCUUUUUUUCAAAGACACUCCAAAAUCGUAAACUUUUAAACCAAAGGCAAGCAUGCAUCAAGAAACGAGCUCAGAGGCACCGAGCAUUAAUCACCCAACCUAACAUAAAUUCUGAGAUGAAUGCAGCUGAUCAAUACUCAAAUACAACUGAAUUGAUAAUGAUCUCAUUCUUCAAUCCUUUCUCAUUAUCAAUCAGACUUGACUAAAACCAUUUCUAUUUCUAUCCAUAAAAGGACCCCAGUAUUCCAGUUACAUUUCUUUUUCCUCAAUAUUUUAACCACAACACAAUACCUAUCCUAAACCCUGAAAAAUUCCAAUUCCAGACUCAAUCCCACAAGAACUAUUAGCCUAAAAUAAACGAUGAAGUAAACAACAAAAUGGGGAAUACCGAUGAGCUUAAACCAAUAAAAAGGCGGAAAAAAUAAAACAAAAACUCAACAAACAUACCUGUUAGCGUGAAGCAAAGCAGCUGGGCCCAAGUAAGAUUCAGGGUUCCACCAAUAGCUGGGGCAG
Molecule: unclassified non-coding RNA, 883 nt
Filed under: Hevea brasiliensis (rubber tree)
Lineage: Eukaryota; Viridiplantae; Streptophyta; Magnoliopsida; Malpighiales; Euphorbiaceae
Source: RNAcentral